RNAcentral lists this long non-coding RNA (524 nucleotides) under Capra hircus (goat). RNAcentral describes it as "lncRNA (ENSCHIG00010002435.1)". Lineage: Eukaryota; Metazoa; Chordata; Mammalia; Artiodactyla; Bovidae. The record is from RNAcentral.
GCCACCAAACAUUGUCUUUUUGGCUAUGAGUUUAUCUAACACCUGCUGUCAGGCCGUUGGCUAACCACCAACCAAUCCCCAGCCUGUCACAUCCGUAUCCAAACAGUAGCCAAGGCAGCCUGCACAGUGCUGUUUCCUGGGUUUGUGACCUGCCCCAGCUCCGUCCCAAGCUGCCAGGCCAAGGCUCUGCCUGGACCAGACACGUUUGAACUUAAGAAAGUGGCUGCUCCUCUGUCUCCAGCUUUUUCCUGCUCUUCUGCAAUAGACCGGUUCCUGUAUAGCUCUGAACGUACUCUGUACACAGUUCUGCACAGUGGACACCAGGAACUCGAGAAACUGCCCAUACACAAUGACCCAGAAUCCCUGGAAUCAUGCUUCUGAUUGAGGACAUGGCUCACAACUAAGCCAUUCAUUCCCAUUCAUGUCUGCAUGAACAGAACACCCUGGCAUCUCUCCUGACCCUCAUCACCACCUGUGAGGCAUGGGGCCAUGGGGCCGAGGGCCCAGGGAAGGCACGUGGGUGA